Long non-coding RNA from Musca domestica (house fly), 765 nucleotides. RefSeq lists it as uncharacterized. The transcript has 2 exons. Lineage: Eukaryota; Metazoa; Arthropoda; Insecta; Diptera; Muscidae. The record is from RefSeq and is a predicted model, not a curated record.
UCCACAUCCAUUUUAGAAGAUUUCGCUUUUGAAAUUAGGUCAGAGACCCCUGCCCAGAUGUUACCCUUGGGUUUUCGACCCGGGGAAUUUGGGUAAUAUUUAGGCACAACGUAUGCUGUUACAUAUUUAAAGAAAAAAACAAUUUAAAAAGCAGUAAGUUAGGCCGGGCCGAACUAUGAAUACCCUCCACCAUUUGGAACAAAUUUGGAAAUUUUCAAAAAAUAAAAUCCGUUAAAAAUUCUGUUAAGAUUUUAAAAAUACCGAAUAUAGCCGUUAUAUUGGGGUCUCUACGACGAUGUGGUCCUACAUAGGCAUUGUUUGUCAUAAGCCAUUACCAUAUUUAAAUUCGAAACUUGAAAUAAACGGUAAAUAAUAUAGCUAAAAGCAAAAAUAUCGUAUAUAGGGAGGUUUAAGGUCAUUAAUCAUUCUGACAAUUCCACUUUCAUCGCUUGUGCAUGUGACAAGGCCAGGGUCAGCAGUUGCUGGGUAUAUAAAGCUGAAGAGUAGUGUAAAACUUCACAACACGUUUUUUUAACAACCUUCAACAUGCGUUUCUUUGGAAAUAUUCUAAUUUUAUUGGCUAUUGUGGCCAUGGCCUUGGGUCAGCAACAAUCUCCAUCUGCUGAUUACGAGAAUGUAGCCAAUGCUGAACCCCAACCAAGGGAAGAUCCUGCCAAGAUUGGAUUCUCCAUUGAAUUUGGAAAAUAAAAACUUUAUGGAAAUUGUGUUCUGAUUUAUGUGAAAUAAAAGAUAAAUUUAACUUAA